RNAcentral lists this long non-coding RNA (3442 nucleotides) under Taeniopygia guttata (zebra finch). RNAcentral's name for it is "lncRNA (ENSTGUG00000027587.1)". Lineage: Eukaryota; Metazoa; Chordata; Aves; Passeriformes; Estrildidae. The record is from RNAcentral.
GAGAGGGAGGGGGGGGUUUGGGGGGGGGAGGGUGUAGGGGGUGGGGGAGGGGAGGAAGGGAGGGUACACAGGAGAGGUAUAGAGAAAAAGAAACGCAAAAGAACAGAAACACAGAAGAAAAGAAAUACAGAGAAAAAGAGACAAAGGGGCCCGGCCGGCAGCAACCUCCCGCUCUGAGCGCCGAGCAGCAAAUGGCUCUGCCCGGGCCUCCCCGCGGGUUAAAUCCCCCCGGCCCCGCCCCGCGCAGGCGCGCUGGGGCCCCGCGCACCUGUGCGCGCACCUGUGCUGGCCCCGCCCCAGCCCCGCCCCCCGCCCGUAAAUGGCGGCGGAUCCGCGCCCGCCUCACGUUCUGCGGGGGAUGCUCGGCCCGGGCUGCAGCGGGACCGGCGCUCGGAGCGCCGUGCCGAGAUCGGAUCGGCGCUGCUCCCGGCGUUGCGCGGCGUCCGACGGGCUCAGGCACGCAGGGAUGCUUCAGCCCGGACAGACGCCACCGACAGCCCCGAGGGACCCCAGGGAACGGCUGGCAUCACCUGGGAAUGGAGGCACGGCCGUUUGCAGAGCGGCUCUGACAGCAAUCCCUGUUUCUGACCUCCCCGAGCUCCCACACAGCUGCCAGAUACUAAAUGCCAAGCCAUAGCCUCAGAGAUGCCUUAAAAUCAGAGGUUCGAGUGGGAUGAUAUCUGGAGAUUUUCAGGGAGCCAGCUGGAGGUGCAGAAGUGAUGGAAAACUCUCACAGGUGGGUCCCACUGGAGGUGUGCUGCAGGCAGGGAUGUGCAUCCCUUUCCUGAGGGAAAAGGCCAUGCAGAGGCCGGUGCUGAGGCUCUGAAAGGAGCGGAGCUUCUGCAGGAGAGAUGUUCUGCCUCAGCACAGGCCGGGAGCGCACCCAGCCACCGCCUUGUCCUGCUUUAAAACAUCAGCUGGAGCCUGAGCUCUGGGGGGUGAAAUCAGCUGAAUUCCAAGGAACUCUGUCAAGUGACCCCAGAGACAUCCCUGGGGCGGGGGGAUGAGGGUUUUAAAUAGCAAGUUCUAUAGAAUAGAGACCUGUCUUUGUCCUGUUCCCACUGAGCUUCCCUGGAACCUCUGCUGGUUCCUGACACAGCUGGUGCUAAAGUGGCAGCUCUGCAUGGGAACUUCCAGUCUCCACGAGGCACUGUCAGGUUAUUCCAGCAGGAAUUCAGCAGGGAAUCUGGGGCUGUGGGUAUAAUUCAUCUGAACUAGCAAAGCUGAUACUGAACCCCAAAUCCAGGCACCACGCAGAGAACAAUCUUUGUGCAAAAUGCCCUGGGUGGGGAAGUUUCAGCAGCCAAACAUAUGGAAUGGUCUAAAUCCCAGCAACCAGCAUCCCCCAGAGGGACAAUCUAAGUGCCAGGGUGGGAGCUCGUGUCCUUCCCCUGCUGCUGGUGGGACAAAUUCCCUUGGCACAGCUGGUGGUAUGGGAUCUGAGAGCAGGAGGGGCAGGAGCAGGGAUGGGAGAUGAGGCUGCUGGAAUGUCACCUGGAGUAGCUGAACACAUUCUGUCCCUUCAGGAGCCAAAGCAGAUCCCUCCUGGCCGGGCUGGAUGGGAGAUGAGGCUGCUGGAAUGUCACCUGGAGUAGCUGAACACGUUCUGUCCCUUCAGGAGCCAAAGCAGAUCCCUCCUGGCUGGGCCGGAUGGGAGAUGAGGCUGCUGGAAUGUCACCUGGAGCAGCUGAACACGUUCUGUCCCUGCAGCAGCCAGGAGCCAAAGCAGAUCCCUCCUGGCUGGGCUGGAUGGGAGAUGAGGCCGCUGGAAUGUCACCUGGAUCAGCUGAACACGUUCUGUGCCUGCAGCAGCCAGGAGCCAAAGCAGAUCCCUCCUGGCCGGGCUGGAGGGCACCUGCUGCAUCUGCUCUGGGGGAAAACUCCCUGCCCCUGCCAGGAGCGCUGACUCUGCUUUUCCUCCAGCUCCUGAGCAGUGUCAGGGUCACCGGGAGGGGGUUCAAACCCAAAAAGUCCCCACAGCCCCCAGAGUGAAUGAUCCCAGCAGAGAAACGCAGCAUUGAAAUAAAAAAACUAAGAGCUCUGUCAAAAAGGCUGUGACAACAGUGCAAUGGGAUUCCCAGGAACCUUCUGGUUUGCUCUCAGAAUGCUCUUGGUUCUCUUUCAUGUAUUUUUAGUCCCUCAACGGGCAGCUUGUAGAAUUUAUUCUGGGACUUAGAGGUUGAGCAGGGUGGGCUCUGGAUUGACCUUUGCCUCUGGUGCCACUUUGUGCAAACACAACUUGGCCAGGCUGGGUGAACUCAUGGCCUCAGCUUUCCCCUCCAAAAUGUCCCUCACUUAUUUCCCUGCGGGUGAGCUGGGAUUUGGCCCCAGACUGUCACUCCUCACCUCCCCGUGCCCCCACAGUGUCCGUUCUGUUCCCCACAGAGCCCUGGGGACACCAGGGGGUCCCUUUGCCUUCUCCCGCCCCUUUCCAGCUCCUCUGGCUCCUCUGCCCUUGUCCCACACAGCACAGGGACACAAAAGGGGAAAGGCUCCAGAAAACAUUUCUGCAAUUAACCAGCAAUUAUUUCAAUUCCCCAGUGAGAAGAACAUGAACUCACAGCCACCGAGGCCUGACGGGUUCCUGCAGUGAGAGUUCAGCGCUUGUCUGCAGAGGUGAGUGCAGCAUCUGAAAGGAAAAAAACACAGGGGAAAAAUGUGAUUUAUUUUGCUUCAAAGUUAUUUCAUGUUCUUAAAGCCCAACCAACUUCUGCUCUUGAUUUUGGUCGGGUGAAACAGGAGCGGUGGGCAGGGGUCGUGCCAUUGAUGCGCAUGUGCCUGAUGCUUUCUGGGGCAGAAAAAGUAGAUUAAGCUCACCUUAUGUCAAGCAGUUAUUAAAAAGGAUUUAUAGCUCUUUAAACAUAGCACCCUUUAAUUACCAUAAUGUUUCUUCCAUGCUUUUAACUAAUUCUCAGUGUAUUUUAUAAAACUUAAAAUAACACCUCCUCCCCAUAAAACAGACUCAUCAAGCAUUAGACAAAAAGCCCUACUGCCAGUCUCAUGCUUGCACAUCUAACAGGAGACCCUCCCCAUAACCAAACAAAAAAUCAAAAUAAUGUGCCAAAAGUAGUCCUUACUAACAUUAAAAAUACAACUCAACCGUAUCAAAAAAAAACCCCAAAUUUAUUUCCUACAAACACCAAAUAAUCUUCAAAUUCUAAAUUAAAAACUCUUAAAAAAACAAGAACCAUCAAAACAUACUUCAAAUAUAGAAAAGCUUAAACGUAUAAAUAAAUAUUUGUCAAAGCCCACAAAAAAUAUAAAAGAAUCUAAUCAAUAUCCUGCAUUUAAAAAACCCACUAUACAAAUUAGUACCAUUUGCAAUGUAACAUAAAUAAAAAAAAUUUACUAAGAAACAUAUUUCCCAAUAAAUAAAACCACCCUGUAAAGAUAUAAGUAAUAAUCACAACUCAACAAUUUAAAAUUUCUCCAAAACAAAAAU